ACCUCAAAAAAUAAAAAAAUCCCACCGGCCCUCACAUUUCUCCCCGUCGUUCCCCAUUCUUCCUUGGUCGUCGCCAGCUCCCUCUCCCCACCUCCUCGGGCCACCCCUCCCCUUCGUACCCACCGCCAGCAACAGGUUCGCAACCCCUGCUCUUCCCCGCCUUUUCGUCGAAUCCGGCCGCCCAAGUGGCCGAGGAGGUCCCCGAGCUCGGCAUGCACGGGAGCAUCCCAGCGAUAGGCUCCGUCGGAGGUGCGAGACUUCCACGCCCCUGCUCUUCCCCGUCCCUCUUCGAAUCCGCUCGCCGAAGUGCCGAAGGAUGCGCUCGAGCUCAGCAUGCUCACGGGCGACCCAGCGCGGAUGCCCGCAACAAGACAACAAGGAGCGGGCGUGGGUGCGCAAAAAUAUAUGGGCACAGUUCGAUGCCUCCACUGGCGUGCCUCUGUUUGAUGUGCUAUUCAAGAUCCCUGUACAAUUGUGUUAUUCAAGAUACAAUGGCACUCGAUGAUGCUUGCUAAGAAGGUCUGCAAUAUGCACUGGACUGUUGCUUGCCAGAUGACUGGAAGAUGGAUAAAUUUGCUUGCAAGGCUCUUGAUAAUAUAUCCACUUUCAUCAAAUGCUUAAGGGUAUGGUCAAUUGGAGAAGACAUUACUAUGACUACAAAGAUCUGUUUUUUCAGGUGAUGAAUUGUAACCUUAUAUUCUUUAUUACUUGGAAUUGAAAAUCACUGGAAGCAAUCCGUAAUUACUUCGGAGAGAAUCUUUUACU
Molecule: long non-coding RNA, 765 nt
Organism: Aegilops tauschii subsp. strangulata
Lineage: Eukaryota; Viridiplantae; Streptophyta; Magnoliopsida; Poales; Poaceae
Source: RefSeq, a predicted model, not a curated record